GUAAGGAAUAUUGGACAAUGGACGCAAGUCUGAUCCAGCCAUGCCGCGUGAAGGAUUAAGGUCCUCUGGAUUGUAAACUUCUUUUAUAAGGGACGAAAAAAGGCUUUUCUAAGUCGUCUGACGGUACCUUAUGAAUAAGCACCGGCUAACUCCGUGCCAGCAGCCGCGGUAAUACGGAGGGUGCAAGCGUUAUCCGGAUUCACUGGGUUUAAAGGGUGCGUAGGCGGGCAGGUAAGUCAGUGGUGAAAUCCUAGAGCUUAACUCUAGAACUGCCAUGGAUACUAUCUGUCUUGAAGAUUGUGGAGGUAAGCGGAAUAUGUCAUGUAGCGGUGAAAUGCUUAGAUAUGACAUAGAACACCUAUUGCGAAGGCAGCUUACUACGCAUAUAUUGACGCUGAGGCACGAAAGCGUGGGGAUCAAACAGGAUUAGAUACCCCUGUAGUCC
This 445-nucleotide ribosomal RNA is filed under the name uncultured bacterium. Its description in RNAcentral is "partial 16S ribosomal RNA". It matches the Rfam family "Bacterial small subunit ribosomal RNA", at positions 354 to 796 of the family's 1533-position model. The record is from RNAcentral.